Molecule: ribosomal RNA, 253 nt
Filed under: uncultured bacterium
Lineage: Bacteria
Description: partial 16S ribosomal RNA
Rfam family: Bacterial small subunit ribosomal RNA
Source: RNAcentral
CACGUAGGGACCAAGCGUUGUCCGGAUUCAUUGGGCGUAAAGAGCUUGUAGGCGGUUUGUCGCGUCUGCUGUGAAAUUUCGGGGCUCAACCCCGAACUUGCAGUGGGUACGGGCAGACUAGAGUGUGGUAGGGGAGACUGGAAUUCCUGGUGUAGCGGUGAAAUGCGCAGAUAUCAGGAGGAACACCGAUGGCGAAGGCAGGUCUCUGGGCCAUAACUGACGCUGAGAAGCGAAAGCAUGGGGAGCGAACAGG